RNAcentral lists this ribosomal RNA (253 nucleotides) under uncultured bacterium. Its description in RNAcentral is "partial 16S ribosomal RNA". It matches the Rfam family "Bacterial small subunit ribosomal RNA", at positions 524 to 776 of the family's 1533-position model. The record is from RNAcentral.
UACGUAGGGUGCGAGCGUUGUCCGGAAUUAUUGGGCGUAAAGAGCUCGUAGGCGGUCUGUCGCGUCGGCUGUGAAAACUCGGGGCUCAACUCCGAGCUUGCAGUCGAUACGGGCAGGCUAGAGUUCGGCAGGGGAGACUGGAAUUCCUGGUGUAGCGGUGAAAUGCGCAGAUAUCAGGAGGAACACCGGUGGCGAAGGCGGGACUCUGGGCCGAUACUGACGCUGAGGAGCGAAAGCGUGGGGAGCAAACAGG